RNAcentral lists this unclassified non-coding RNA (141 nucleotides) under uncultured fungus. Its description in RNAcentral is "sequence contains ITS1". The record is from RNAcentral. Lineage: Eukaryota; Fungi.
GUGAAAUAACCUGGGACUUCACGUCCCACACCAUCUCACAUCUACACACCUCUGUGCACUGUUGGACCUGCCUUUCCAAGGCCUGUCCUUUUCCUUUACAAACAUCUCAUGCAUGUAUGGAAAGUGAAGUUAUCAAAGUUA